AGGGUUUGAUUCUGGCUCAGGACGAACGCUGGCGGCGUGCUUAACACAUGCAAGUCGAACGCGCCUGUCCUCCUGGUUUUCCGGGGGGUGGGUGAGUGGCGAACGGGUGAGUAACACGUGAGUAACCUGCCCCCUUCUUCGGGAUAACGGUCUGAAAGGGCUGCUAAUACCGGGUAUUCACUGGUCCUCGCAUGGGGUCUGGUGGAAAGGUUUUUUCUGGUGGGGGAUGGGCUCGCGGCCUAUCAGCUUGUUGGUGGGGUGAUGGCCCACCAAGGCUUUGACGGGUAGCCGGCCUGAGAGGGUGACCGGUCACAUUGGGACUGAGAUACGGCCCAG
Molecule: ribosomal RNA, 336 nt
Filed under: uncultured bacterium
Lineage: Bacteria
Description: bacterial SSU rRNA
Rfam family: Bacterial small subunit ribosomal RNA
Source: RNAcentral